CAGAAACUACAAAGGAAUUGACGGGGCCCGGCACAAGCGGUGGAGUAUGUGGUUUAAUUCGAUGCAACGCGAAGAACCUUACCUGGUCUUGACAUCCCGGAGACCCUUAGGAAACUAGGGGGUGCUUCCAUCUGGAAGAAUCUGGAGACAGGUGCUGCAUGGCUGUCGUCAGCUCGUGUCGUGAGAUGUUGGGUUAAGUCCCGCAACGAGCGCAACCCUUGCCUUUAGUUGCCAGCAGUUCGGCUGGGCACUCUAAAGGGACUGCCGGUGUUAAACCGGAGGAAGGUGGGGAUGACGUCAAGUCCUCAUGGCCUUUAUGACCAGGGCUACACACGUACUACAAUGGCCGAUACAAAGGGCAGCGACACUGCGAGGUGAAGCCAAUCCCGUAAAAUCGGUCUCAGUCCGGAUUGGAGUCUGCAACUCGACUCCAUGAAGUUGGAAUCGCUAGUAAUCGUGGAUCAGCAUGCCACGGUGAAUACGUUCCCGGGCCUU
This 495-nucleotide ribosomal RNA is filed under the name uncultured Desulfobulbus sp. RNAcentral's name for it is "bacterial SSU rRNA". It matches the Rfam family "Bacterial small subunit ribosomal RNA", at positions 894 to 1382 of the family's 1533-position model. The record is from RNAcentral. Lineage: Bacteria; Pseudomonadati; Thermodesulfobacteriota; Desulfobulbia; Desulfobulbales; Desulfobulbaceae.